This 348-nucleotide unclassified non-coding RNA is filed under the name soil metagenome. RNAcentral's name for it is "partial contains 5.8S ribosomal RNA, internal transcribed spacer 2, and large subunit ribosomal RNA". The stretch from base 1 to 120 matches the Rfam family "5.8S ribosomal RNA", at positions 35 to 154 of the family's 154-position model. The record is from RNAcentral.
GAUGAAGAACGUAGCAAAAUGCGAUAAGUAAUGUGAAUUGCAGAAUUCAGUGAAUCAUCGAAUCUUUGAACGCACAUUGCGCCCGCUGGUAUUCCGGCGGGCAUGCCUGUUCGAGCGUCAUUUCAACCCUCAAGCCCCCGGGUUUGGUGUUGGGGAUCGGCUCUGCCCUUCUGGGCGGUGCCGCCCCCGAAAUACAUUGGCGGUCUCGCUGCAGCCUCCAUUGCGUAGUAGCUAACACCUCGCAACUGGAACGCGGCGCGGCCAUGCCGUAAAACCCCAACUUCUGAAUGUUGACCUCGGAUCAGGUAGGAAUACCCGCUGAACUUACGCAUAUCAAUAAGCGGAGGA